RNAcentral lists this long non-coding RNA (390 nucleotides) under Mytilus galloprovincialis (Mediterranean mussel). Lineage: Eukaryota; Metazoa; Mollusca; Bivalvia; Mytilida; Mytilidae. The record is from RNAcentral.
UGAGGUGUAAGUCAUUGUAUUGGAGCCCUCUUUAAUGGGGUUCUGACUUUGUCUGUCAGAGUUAAUAACACUGAGUGUUAGAUCAGGUUAAAGAUCAUGAUAAAAGGGGGGAUUGAAUAAGAUGUUAUUAACCAGUAGACAUGUACCUUAGUUUAAUUUCUUAUUUUCCUACUACAGUUGAAACCCCCCACCAACCCCAACACACAACCUUGUUAUCAUUUGUGCCAUUGAAGCAACUAGUUUUGAUCAUUGUUGAAGGCCGUACGGUGACCUAUAGUUUUUAAUGUCUGUGUCAUUUUGGUCUUUUGUUGAUAGUUGUCUCAUUGGCAAUCAUACCACAUCUUCUUUUUUAUAUAUUGUGGUUGUGUAAUUAGACAAUGAAUUCUGGGC